This 1150-nucleotide long non-coding RNA is filed under the name Lactuca sativa (garden lettuce). Its description in RNAcentral is "long non-coding RNA (LSAT_LNC008322)". The record is from RNAcentral. Lineage: Eukaryota; Viridiplantae; Streptophyta; Magnoliopsida; Asterales; Asteraceae.
AGAAUAUAGAUUAGCAACAAAAGGGAAAAAAAGAAAAAGAUAAAACGUGACGUGACGUGAUGUGGUACAUCUGUUUGUUCAAUUUCCCUUCCAACUUAGCGAAGAGAAAAUCAUACACAAAACAGGGACCAAUGAGAAAUGUAAUCAAGGGCCCGUCACCUCCGUGACUUUGACCUGAAAACACCAUCGACCAUCAGCCCUCUCUUCAACUUAUAUUUACAAAACAACCACAAAUUAUAUAUCCACUUGGAACCGUGAGGGCACGCUCGUCUUUUUGCAUUGCUCCUCCACUCGUACAGGUACAGGUACAGGUACAUCUCCAGUUCCAGUUGGAAGGAAUUAUACAAAACACAUUUUUGUUUGUUUGUUUUUUAUGUCAAGUGCCCAAAAGUUUGAUUAUAGAAUAGAAUGCCUCCCUCUCAUUUUUGCAACAACACGUGUAAUGUCACAGUAACUACAAAUGUCGUGAUUGCCCUCAAAUCAACACCUGCACAUGCCGCUGUUUGCUCCCAAACAUAAAACAUAUAUCAAAGAUUCAAACCCAUGAUUUAUUUUAAAAAAUAAAAAAUAAAAAAGUAAAACUUACAUGAUGGUUGCGAAUAUGGGCCUGGUGAUGGUGCAUCGGAAGGGUAUGUAUCGGUGGGGGGAUGACUUCGCGCAAAGACUACGUUUGGCAGCGGGCUUGAUGCAGGGAUUGUUUCCGUUACAGGUGGUGGUGGUGGUGGUGAUCGUGGCGGUGGCGGUGGCGGUGGCAGUGGUGGAGGAGGAAUAUGCGGUGAAGGAGCUGGCUGAGAGACGGGAGGAAAGAGAGGAGGAUGCUUCUUCUUGUGGUAACCAGGACGACAAGGUGGAUGCUUUGGAUGAGGUGAAGGGGCGGGGGUCGGUGGUAGAGCAGUGGGGGAAGGUGGUUUUGCAGGCGGCUAUGGUUUAUCAUGGUGGUGGUGGUGGUGGUGGUGGUGAUGGUGGUGGGGUUGAGGAGGUAGAUUCGGUAGGGGGGAAGGAGAAGGUACCGGAACAACAGCAGCACCACUAGAAGAAGAAGAAUUAAGGGAGAUAGAGGAAAGACUAAUUUGCUUGACCUUCCCGAAUUGAGUGUUAUUGAGUCCAAGAUUUUGAGUUGGUGAGCCCUUAAUGGUCUGAGCCAACUGUU